RNAcentral lists this ribosomal RNA (497 nucleotides) under uncultured bacterium. Its description in RNAcentral is "partial 16S ribosomal RNA". It matches the Rfam family "Bacterial small subunit ribosomal RNA", at positions 28 to 507 of the family's 1533-position model. The record is from RNAcentral.
GACGAACGCUGGCGGCGUGCCUAAUACAUGCAAGUUGAGCGCUGAAGGUUGGUACUUGUACCAACUGGGUGAGCAGCGAACGGGUGAGUAACGCGUGGGGAAUCUGCCUUUGAGCGGGGGACAACAUUUGGAAACGAAUGCUAAUACCGCAUAAAAACUUUAAACACAAGUUUUAAGUUUGAAAGAUGCAAUUGCAUCACUCAAAGAUGAUCCCGCGUUGUAUUAGCUAGUUGGUGAGGUAAAGGCUCACCAAGGCGAUGAUACAUAGCCGACCUGAGAGGGUGAUCGGCCACAUUGGGACUGAGACACGGCCCAAACUCCUACGGGAGGCAGCAGUAGGGAAUCUUCGGCAAUGGACGAAAGUCUGACCGAGCAACGCCGCGUGAGGGAAGAAGGUUGUCGGAUCGUAAAACUCGGUUGGUAGAGAAGAACGUUGGUGAGAGUGGAAAGCUCAUCAAGUGACGGUAACUACCCAGAAAGGGACGGCUAACUACGUG